Peromyscus eremicus (cactus mouse) is the source of this 2159-nucleotide long non-coding RNA. RefSeq lists it as uncharacterized. The transcript is spliced from 2 exons. The record is from RefSeq and is a predicted model, not a curated record. Lineage: Eukaryota; Metazoa; Chordata; Mammalia; Rodentia; Cricetidae.
CUUUCAUAAUAAUAAGUCUGUGUCAUUAUUGGGGAGAUGAUGGUCCCAAAGAAAAAUCUGUCUGUAUCUGGGUUCUAUAAGAAAGCAAGCCAGUAAACAGCUUUCCUCCAUGGUUUCUGAUUUUGCUCCUGAUUGAAUUGCUGCCCUGACUUCCCUUACUGAUGGCCUGUGAUUGAGAUGUGUAAAGCAAAUAAAUCCUGUAGCUAGAGUAUUCCUGUGUCCACCCGGCUCCUGCAGCCGCUCAGACCCAAUUAAACACACAGAGACUUAUAUUACUUAUAAACUGUAUGGCUGUGGCAAGCUUCUUGUUAUCUAGUUUUUAUAUCUUAAAUUAACCCAUUUCUAUUCAUCAAUAAGUUACCACAUGGCUUGUGGUUUACUGGUACAUUACAUCUUGUUUCUCAUGGCGGCAGCUGGCAGCAUCUCCUGACUCAGCCUUCCACUUCCCAGAAUUCUCCUCUCUCUUUGUCCCGCCUCUACUUCCUGCCUGGCUACUGGCUAAUCAGCACUUUAUUUAUUAACCAAUCAGAAUAACACAUUCACAGCAUAGAGAACAUCCCACAGCAAAAUCCUUUCUUCCCAGGUUGCUUCUGGUUAAGGUGUUUAUCACAACAACAGAAAGUCAACUACAAUAAGCACUUACUAUGAAGCUCAAGCCCAGUGAUCUUACUCACCCUCGUUUCACUCUCUAUACCCAACAUCGACCAGCAGAAAAAUAGACCCAAAUGGACUGUGGAUCUGGAUGGAUUCAAAACCAAGAUCUGACACUACACGUGUGAACCUCUGAGAAGCGUCUGCGGGGUGCCAAGUAGACAAGGCUAUGAUGGCACCAGUGAUCACGUGGUGUGGAAAACCAAGGCCCUAUGCGAGUUCACAGUGAAGACUCAUCUUCUUUCAUCUCUCUGCCUGGAAAAGUGGCUUCAAGAUGCAUCUUGAGUGAUAAAGAGGGUACCACAUCUCAGAAAGACAAUCAUCUGGUUGCUCCAGGAAUGGGGGAAGGCACACUGGAGAGCUCUAGGCCUCAGCAGGAGAUAAGACCUACUUAUCUACACAGUCCUUAGGUACCUGAAUUGCAGCUGAACCCAUAACUAGAACUUUAACAGGUGAGGCUUAUUUUACUUGCCCAGCGCUCCCAGGUAUAUAGGUGUUCCAGGGAAUCUUGUCUACUCUAGGUGCUUCUGGACACCAGUGGUUGACUGGAAAGUCUGGCUCCAAGAGAUGCCGAGGGAGGUCAGGCAAAUGAGCAGAUCCCUUCACUUCCGUUCCUGGCUGUGUCCUUUGCCUGAAGCUAACGUGCCUUUUGCAUUCAGUUUCCCAGACAUUGUCUUCCCACUCUCCUCAUCCCUACAUCCUCCUUUGGGGUCACACCCUAGUGAGCAGGUGGUUUGGCUCUGCUCAUCUCAAACUCGUGUGUGAGCCUUAUUUCAAGGAUUGGAGCAUCAGGUGGCUCAAGUACGGUCAUGCCGGGCGGCUGUUACUCACUCCUGGGAACUGGAAGACAUUCAAGAGCUAAUGCCUUUGUUGGGACAAGAUGCUGACAGGCUACUUUCUACGCCGGCAAAGUCAAGUCUCUUCUUGGUAUGCAGGAAAUGAUAACUAGGUCACAAGAGAGGCAGGACUCUGAGAUCCGCAGCCAUAGCUGCAAGAGUCGAAGCAAAGGAGGAAAGGUAGUGGCAUCCUUAGACCUCUGGCUAAAUGGCACACGUGCUGGGGAAACUUUCGUAGGAUGGUAUCAUGCCGAGUGUAGGAGGAUUGCAAAUAUUUUUUGGAAUGUCAGGCAAGAAGAGGGGUGUGUGGGUUUUAUUUUAUUUUUUUAAGCCACUUGAUCAAAGAAAUGACUACAGGUGCCCAGAGGUAUCUUAGCACAUUUGGGAGCUUCCAAGAUGUUUUUGCAUCAAGUAAAAACAUUUUCAACUAAUUAACUAUUAAUAAAUAAAUAAAUGAAUUAAUUAAUAUUCCACUCCUCCCGUUUCCAGAAUGUGUAUUUUCCUUCUUACUCAAAAAAUGGUCUUACUUAUGUCACGACAAGUUUUGAGAUAACUGUGUGGAGAGAUGAACAAAUUCAUUGUAUCUUUUGAUAAAGUGUAAUGUGUCAGAUUCUCAUACCCCACCACAUUAUUUUUAAUAAACAUAAUGAGGACAGAGAAUUAAUUCUUGAA